UUGUUUUCGUGCGCGUAGGAGACGAGACGUACGAAUUAAAUCAGUCGAGGGAAGGAUAAACGUUAGAAAGGAAUUAAAGAGAAAACGAGAGUUUAUGUAAAAGAGAGUUAUAGAAUUUAUAGUGAUGUUUUGUUUUAAUUAGAAAAAUGUUGAGAGUUGUUUCAGAACGACACGUCAGUGGACGUGGCAGAAUGAACACGUGACGGGGAGGUGCUGAGACCUAGCGGAGAACGGAGGAACCGCAAGCGAGGGUUGGCGCACCUGAUGGAAUUCGGUGACGUCACGGGCUCAUACGGAGACGUGGACAGGCCGUGACCUUGUUUUGAUCAGCUGUACGGUAACUUAGCGAUAAGAAAAUAGACUAUUGGUUAAAUACAUUUAAAUUUAAGUGUGUUUUAGGAGAAGAGGAACUUUCAGUAUAUUCCUUAAGAUGAGCUGAGCAGCAGUCCAGUUUACAAGAUGACAAGAGUUCGAGAGACAAGAUACAAGAUCACUGAAACAAGAGCCAAGACUGAAGAUUCAAGAGAAGAGAAAGCUGGCAGCCAUGGACUUACAAGUGGAGAUUAAUAAGGUCAUGUAAAGUUUUAUUUUUUUUUAUGGAAGACAGUAACUGGAGUUUUUUUUUGUUAUAAACAUUAUUUACAGAACUUUUUAGGUUAUAGUAAUGUAAUGGAACUAGUGAGUUGUGGUAGCUGUCAAAAAGAACUAAUACCUUAAGUUUAAUUUUUAAAGUUAAUUUUCUUAAUUUACAGAGGGAUUAGUAGUUUUUUUUAAACCUUAUUUAGGUUGGAAUUUAAAUACAAUAGCUUAUUAUAAAUGUGUACGAACAGUUCAAGUUCACAGUACUGAUAGGUAGGUCAGAUGAUCUUAUUGAUUUUGAUGAUUUGUUGUUUUGAGUUGAUUUUUAAGUGUUGUGAAUUAGACAAUGAAAUAGUUCUGAAAACUUAAAUUAUUUCAAGCUAAGAAAUAGUAAAGUUAAUUGUAACUCAAAGGACACCAGAAUUUAAUUUUUUUUUGAAUUAGUAAUGUUUGAAAAUUUUAUACUUUACAAGAAAGGUUAUAAACAAACAGAUCGGAUGGAACAAGGAUGCAGUAAAUCACAAUUUCAUUUAGAAUUAUUGAUUAGCUUUUGAGGUUAUGAAGUAAAAGUAAUUAUAGUUUAAAAGUUUGAAUAAAAAAAAAUGUUUUUUUUUAUUUGUUUGAAAUAGAAAGUUUAAAAGUUAAUUAGUCAUGAUCUAGGUGGGUGAUGGGGUGGGAAUUGGCCACUCUUUUUCCCUAUAACCUCCCUAACAUGGCCUUCUAUUACAACUAACAGAAAUAAAGAAGAAGAAAAAUGAAGAAUUAUUAGUUAGAAUGUUUCUUUCAUGAAGAUACCUGAUGAACUUUUACUGUUUGGAAGAAUAGAAGCAAGGUUAGUCAGAUAUUUUUACUCAGAAGAAGAAGAAGAUAAAGCAGUUUUAUGACUCGACAAGCCAGAGAUUGGUGUUUCCCCUCUGCGCUUCUAUUGACUACGUUGUUUACUCUCAUGGGAUAGCUGGUUCGGCACCAUGGAGAGAGAUUGGUGGGCAUUGUGGUUGCCCCCAGAAGAAAAGAAGAGUAGAAGAGGUUAUGGGUGGGUCAUGUGAACUGACCUUCAACCCAGUUACUUCGUGGGGACUAUUUGCUGUAUAGAGAAGAUCAAGACACAAGAGUUAGGGAAAAUCAUUGGAGGUCAUGUUUCCCUUCCUUAAGUUUUUCCUAUCAAAUUAUUUGCCUGAUUAGAUUAUGCUAAGGGUGGGAUACUUUAUGUUAGCAGUUGAAUUAAUUAAUUUUAUUUUUUUGUGUGUUUGCAUCCUUGCCCAUCGAUUGCAGUUUAGUAGUUAGUUUUGUAUUUGUCAGGCGUGAUGGUAAUGCCUGUUGAUGAUGUUUCAGAAUUGUAAUCUGUUCGUGAUGAGGAUGGCACAACUCCGAAGCAGAUGUGGGGAGAAGUUGUGAGCUGCCCUGGAAGCCAGUCCAGUAGCUGUUGGAGUUGAGUGGUGUUUGCUGAUGGCCAGCCCAGGGAGCUACUCUUCUCGACAACACUGACUUCGAGGAGUUGCACCAACCUUCACGAGAUAAGAGUUUAAUUAAUUGAAACACUGUAAGGACACUUAAUUUUUUUUGAAGAACGAAAGAAGUAUGGUAAUAAACGGAAACCGAAAAAAAAAAAUAAUAAUAAUUAUCCAGAAUUUGCACAUUGUUUAACGAAUACUGAGAAACUAAGAACAGUAAUUUAAUUUGUAAAGAGAGCUUCACUAACAGAACAAUUUUUUUAGAAUUGAGAACUCGAGCCUCUGAAGGUUCCUGUGAGAACAAACCAGAUAAAAGUUUUACAUUUAAUUUUAUGAAUACUUGUUGUUUUAAAAUAAAUCUUAUGCAGAAUCUAGAUGUAUGUUCAGACAGCAAGGAACUAAGAAAAUUAUUAUUUUUGUGAAAUGAGGAAUUUAUAGUUAUGGUUUAAUGGAAAAAGACAAUUUGUAAUUUUGAGGUAGCUCGAUGGGGCUCGAGCUCUGUGAGGGGAGGGUUAUGUCGCGGGUUGAAAUUUUGCAGGGUUGUUGAAAUCAAAUUUAGGGACUUUACUGACGGGACUCUGGGCUGGCUGCUCUGUUCACUCGUCAGCGCAAGUGGCGUGACCAUGUAAUUGGGGCACGGGGCCGGCGCGGCGCGCUGCGGGCUUGCAGAAUUUUGUUUGUUUGUUUGGCCGCACGCUGGCGCAGCCACGGGCCGCAGUUACUGGGGCGCGCUGUCGUAACAAGCCGCGCGGUGUGGCCUGCACAUUGGGGUAGAGGGGGGGUAGUCUUCCCAGAUGUUCUAGUUAGUUGUUUAGUAAAUUUGACUUCAAUAACGAGCUUUUGUUAUGGUAGGCGCGGCAGGGCGCGCGAAUUUAAGCGCAAGUGAUUGGUGACUCGGGGCUCACUCAGGCGGAGGCUAUGCGUCUCACCUGUGGUCACGAGUUGUUAGUUCGUUCGUGAUGUAGGAAUUCAAGCUUUCGGGCGGAAGCUAUGGUCGACGCCAGAGGCCACGAGUCGUUUAAUUUAAGUUAGGUCAUAAUGUAGUCGUCAAGCUUUCGGGCGGAGGCUAUGGCCCUCGUCAGGGGUCACGCGUCAUAGUUUUUAAAAUGUAAUGUUCGUUCGGGAUUUCAAGGGCAGGAGAGGCCCCUACGUUAUUUUUUUAAAGUAAUCGAUCAAGAAAGGCUUUUCGGAAAAUGUGAGUAUGGACUUAUCUUUGUUUUAAUUUUAAGUAUUAAUUAUGAUUUGAGGUAUUCGGAAGGACUAGGGAAGUGUUUAGUGAAGUUCUCUCAUUCUCUCUCUUGUAAGGUCGUUCAAUCGUUAAGGAAGUAAAGAGAUUAUUGUUUUAAAUUGUAAUCCCGCUAUUUAAAUGUUCUUUAAAAUGAUGUUGAGUAUUUGACUUUAAGAAUAAAAUAAUUUUAAU
Bacillus rossius redtenbacheri is the source of this 3450-nucleotide long non-coding RNA. RefSeq lists it as uncharacterized. The transcript is spliced from 2 exons. The record is from RefSeq and is a predicted model, not a curated record. Lineage: Eukaryota; Metazoa; Arthropoda; Insecta; Phasmatodea; Bacillidae.